Long non-coding RNA from Neopelma chrysocephalum (saffron-crested tyrant-manakin), 1982 nucleotides. RefSeq lists it as uncharacterized. The record is from RefSeq and is a predicted model, not a curated record. Lineage: Eukaryota; Metazoa; Chordata; Aves; Passeriformes; Pipridae. The transcript is spliced from 4 exons.
UUUAACACGCGCACGCUGCCCCCACCAGUGCCCGCGGACGGCGAUGCUGCGGCUCCGCGCCCGCUGCGAUCCCGGACGGGGACACGCGUGGGGAAUGAGGGUCUGCGGGGGGGUUUCUCGCAGCCUGGGUGUCACCGUGGGGGGGAUUUAAAAACGCGGGGUCCGCGGCUCCUCCGUGGGAGGGCGAUCUGCUCGGGGUUUGCUCGCUUUGAGCGAUGCCAAUUCUAUCCCCGCAGGUUUCUCCAAAGUCUUGGGGGCAGAGUGGGGAGAGAGCGAGGCAAAGCGGCUGCCCGGGAGCCUGCGCUUACUUUAGGUGUAAAAGCUGCGCCUCCCAGUGCAGAUGGAUUUUUACAACAGUCAUUCUGAAACUUCAUGGAUCAGGUUUUAUUCCUUCUAAACCUCCUGGUCGCUGUCGCUGUGCAGCAGGAAUUGAUGUCUUGUCCUUACGCCUCGCAGAUCUGACGGGGUUUUCUCGACCUCCAGAAGCUCAGCUGUCCCCCCGAGCGGACCCACGUCCAUCAGCCGCAAUCCAAAAGAGCCAAAUCCUUUCUUAAUACAGCAAAAAAUAUCUUUAUCCCGCCCGAAAGUCCUCAGCCGUGUUUAAGGCACUUAACUGCCGACACCUCUGAAACAGUUAAAGUAUUUAGGACACCGUAGAAUGGCCAAAAACUCGGGAAAAACAAGGCAAAUUGGAGAAAGGUCAUCUGAGGCUGGGACUGGGAGAAUUCCCUUCUUUGAAAUCCCCAGCAGAGUUGAGAAGCUGGUACCAACCCUCCUGUUCCCAUGGACUGAGGUCAGCCACAUCCAAAUUUGCUGGGAAUUCUGUAUGUGCAUGCAGACACUUGUUUUCCCAUUAAAAAAAAAUAAAAAGGAGAAAAAUAUAAGUCUGUAAUUGAAGCUGCUGAGACUGCAGUUUCGGAGCAGCCCUGCUGUGAUGUAUCAGUUCCUUCUUCUUCAUUUUCCAGCUUCCCCAGCAUCCUGUUGUGCACCAAUAUAUGUCUGUGCUGCAUCUUUCCCACUCUCUCCCCCACUAAUUCUUGGAUUCCUAGUGAUUAUGCCUGUAUUGCUUAUUUUGCAAGAUGUCUGAUUAUUUGUUUGAAAUAAUAUUGUAUUUUUUUUUUUUACAGUUCCAAUGGCAAGGUUUGGAAUAUAUGGUUUUUAAGCUCUAGUGUGUUUCUGUACAAAGGCAUUUUUGACUCUUUAUAUGUUUUGGGCAUUAUUACUGAUUCCAGAGUAAGAUCUCGGCUGUUAAAGCCCUUAGUCAUAUAGUUUUUAUUAUUUGUAUUCCCAAAGUAGGGAGAAGUCUAAAUGUGAGAGAGAAUCCCAGCAUCAUGUGAAUACAUGUGAACAAAUGGACUGUCCCACAGAUGUGAGAAAUGAGAAUGGCCUCUAACAUGGUUUGUUACAUUUGUGGUUUUGUGCUGUAACUGAGCAGGGCAGUUCCCUGUGAUUAAUUACCCACGUCAAAGACGCCAAAGUCUUGUUCUGCUUUAUUAGUUCUGUCCAAACAAGAUCACUCCAUUUAGAUCUUAUUAAAGGUUGUUUAUUUUUCUAGCUGUGGAGAGGGAAAAAUCACCAGGCAGUGAGGCUUUUUUGUUUUUAUUUGAAUAGUUUAAUUCAGGGAGGAGUCCCUCAGCUUCUCUGACAUUGGCCAACUCAUGUCCUGAAGUCAUGUUUCAGCUGAUUGCUCAGACAAUUAAACUCUCACGUGCUGUUAAAGACUCCGGAACCUGCUGUCACUCACACUUCCAGUUCAGAUCUCCAGUGACCAGCUGAGGAUUGGAGCUUCAGCCCUUCUCCACAUUCCCAAAAAGGGGAGAAAAUUUCAGUCCAGGAAAGACUCUGACAGGUUGGAUGAGGUUUUUGGAAAAGGAGAUGCUGUUUGAAAAAGAGUUGCAACAUAGAAGGUUUUCCUCACCAAGUGGGAUGAGCAAUGCCUGCAAUUCACCCACCCCAAAAGAUGUAAAUCACUGCAUUCUUCU